Molecule: small nucleolar RNA, 107 nt
Organism: Dioscorea cayenensis subsp. rotundata (Guinea yam)
Lineage: Eukaryota; Viridiplantae; Streptophyta; Magnoliopsida; Dioscoreales; Dioscoreaceae
Source: RefSeq, a predicted model, not a curated record
AUCCCAUGUUGAGGGCAUUUCUGUAGGAGCUCCUUGAAACUAUCCCAAGUCUCAAAAAAAGACUCCAAUUCUAUUUGCACAAAAGAGGAAAUUUCAUUCUUGAGUUU